UGGGAUAACUCCGGGAAACCGGAGCUAAUACCGGAUAACAUUUUUUCUUGCAUAAGAGAAAAUUGAAAGAUGGUUUCGGCUAUCACUUACAGAUGGGCCCGCGGUGCAUUAGCUAGUUGGUGAGGUAACGGCUCACCAAGGCAACGAUGCAUAGCCGACCUGAGAGGGUGAUCGGCCACACUGGGACUGAGACACGGCCCAGACUCCUACGGGAGGCAGCAGUAGGGAAUCUUCCGCAAUGGACGAAAGUCUGACGGAGCAACGCCGCGUGAGUGAUGAAGGCUUUCGGGUCGUAAAACUCUGUUGUUAGGGAAGAACAAGUACAAGAGUAACUGCUUGUACCUUGACGGUACCUAACCAGAAAGCCACGGCUAACUACGUGCCAGCAGCCGCGGUAAUACGUAGGUGGCAAGCGUUAUCCGGAAUUAUUGGGCGUAAAGCGCGCGCAGGCGGUUUCUUAAGUCUGAUGUGAAAGCCCACGGCUCAACCGUGGAGGGUCAUUGGAAACUGGGGAACUUGAGUGCACAAAAGAAAAGCGGAAUUCCACGUGUAGCGGUGAAAUGCGUAUAGAUGUGGAGGAACACCAGUGGGCGAAAGCGGG
This 601-nucleotide ribosomal RNA is filed under the name Priestia flexa. RNAcentral's name for it is "bacterial SSU rRNA". It matches the Rfam family "Bacterial small subunit ribosomal RNA", at positions 139 to 725 of the family's 1533-position model. Lineage: Bacteria; Bacillati; Bacillota; Bacilli; Caryophanales; Bacillaceae. The record is from RNAcentral.